GUACACUCCUACGGGAGGCAGCAGUGGGGAAUAUUGCACAAUGGGCGCAAGCCUGAUGCAGCCAUGCCGCGUGUAUGAAGAAGGCCUUCGGGUUGUAAAGUACUUUCAGCGGGGAGGAAGGCAAUACGGUUAAUAACCGUGUUGAUUGACGUUACCCGCAGAAGAAGCACCGGCUAACUCCGUGCCAGCAGCCGCGGUAAUACGGAGGGUGCAAGCGUUAAUCGGAAUUACUGGGCGUAAAGCGCACGCAGGCGGUCUGUCAAGUCGGAUGUGAAAUCCCCGGGCUCAACCCGGGAACUGCAUUCGAAACUGGCAGGCUUGAGUCUUGUAGAGGGGGGUAGAAUUCCAGGUGUAGCGGUGAAAUGCGUAGAGAUCUGGAGGAAUACCGGUGGCGAAGGCGGCCCCCUGGACAAAGACUGACGCUCAGGUGCGAAAGCGUGGGGAGCAAACAGGAUUAGAAACCCCGGUAGUCCCAUGAU
Molecule: ribosomal RNA, 479 nt
Filed under: uncultured organism
Description: partial 16S ribosomal RNA
Rfam family: Bacterial small subunit ribosomal RNA
Source: RNAcentral